CACAGGUACUGAUGGCAGUAUACACCAAUCACUAUGACAGGUACUGAUGGCAGUACACACCAAUCACUAUGACAGGUACUGAUGGCAGUAUACACCAAUCACUAUGACAGGUACUGAUGGCAGUAUACACCAAUCACUGUGACAGGUACUGAUGACAGUAUACACCAAUCACUAUGACAGGUACUGAUGGCAGUAUACACCAAUCAUUAUGACAGGUACUGAUGGCAGUAUACACCAAUCACUGUGACAGGUACUGAUGACAGUAUACACCAAUCACUGUGACAGGUACUGAUGACAGUAUACACCAAUCACUAUGACAGGUACUGAUGGCAGUACACACCAAUCAUUAUGACAGGUACUGAUGGCAGUAUACACCAAUCACUGUGACAGGUACUGAUGACAGUAUACACCAAUCACUAUGACAGGUACUGAUGGCAGUAUACACCAAUCAUUAUGACAGGUACUGAUGGCAGUAUACACCAAUCACUGUGACAGGUACUGAUGGCGGUACACACCAAUCACUAUGACUGAGGCACUAAAUAUGUUAAUGUGUGUAUUUGUAAUGGGGCCUUAAUAAUGGUUCAGGAGCAUUUUCACUGAAAUCACAAUUUAGGCUCUGGAGUGUACAAAAGUAUUUUGUACAUUUUGUAAAUAGAGUAAUUGUAUUUUAGUAAAUUAUAAAUAUUAGUUUGUUACUAUUUAUGCCAUUGUUAAAUUAUGUACAUACUUUAUUGUUCUUGGCCCAUAGUUUUAGUGGGGUUAUUUUAUAUAUGUGUGCGAUUUGUCAUUUUACCAGUUUAACAGAGACACCCAGGUGGGAACACCCCGGCUGAAACAACAUAAGGAAAGCCGAUUGGAUUGGAAAAACGUUAUAAAUGUAAAAUAAUUACUCCAAUUAUUAUUUUUGUAUAUUUUGCGCAAGAAUUUACCAUCCUCGUGCAAAAAAAAAAUUGCAUUGAAAGUAUGAGUGUUAGUUUUUGUAAUUGCGACCAGAAAUCAGAGUUUACACAUCUGUUAUUUAACCACUACAUCACUGAUGGGAUUGCAUCAUCAGUUCUCAGGUUUCAAUAUAACAUCACCACGCAUUCCUCAUAAUAUGUGAGCAGUAGUAAUAUUAAUAAUAAUAGCAUUUUCUGUUUAUGUUUGUCUUCUCAUAUCCUACGCAUUAUCCAAC
This is a long non-coding RNA of Esox lucius (northern pike), 1174 nucleotides long. NCBI's taxonomy places the organism in Eukaryota, Metazoa, Chordata, Actinopteri, Esociformes, Esocidae. The record is from Ensembl.